This 341-nucleotide long non-coding RNA is filed under the name Malus domestica (apple). RNAcentral describes it as "long non-coding RNA (MDOM_LNC015056)". Lineage: Eukaryota; Viridiplantae; Streptophyta; Magnoliopsida; Rosales; Rosaceae. The record is from RNAcentral.
UGCAAUAAUGAUGAGCACUACAUGAAUAUAUGCAUGUCAUAAUGAUUCAAUGAGUGCAAUCAACAUAAUAAACUUACCUAAAGUUACCUGCGCAUCUCGUAGGAUUAUUUUAGCAUCUCACCACAAUGCAACAUUUCACAUAACAUAAUUUAAUCAUGGCAUGAAAUGCAUAAAUCAAUUCAAAAUCAUUUGUGGAACUAUCAAUCAUAUAUAUACAUACUAUAAAAAGGAACAGACCCACUCACCUGGAGUCCGUGCUACAACUCCCUAGAACGAAUAUCGAGGUGUCUCGAACAAUCGGCGCCUAGAACAAUUAUCAAAUCACGUCUCAGAAUUCUUAU